This 316-nucleotide long non-coding RNA is filed under the name Capsella grandiflora. RNAcentral's name for it is "long non-coding RNA (CGRA_LNC000264)". The record is from RNAcentral. Lineage: Eukaryota; Viridiplantae; Streptophyta; Magnoliopsida; Brassicales; Brassicaceae.
GGAGGACAUGGCUUCUUAGGGGUCGGCGGUGGAAGCUCUACCUUCGGCGGUGGGUCGUGAACUGGUACAGGAGGUGGGUGCUCAAUCUUCGGAGGUUUAGGUGGACAAGGCUUCUUAGUAAUCGGCGGUGGAAGUUCCACCUUUGGUGGUGGCUCGUGAACGGGGACAGGGGGUGGAACCUCUUCCUUUGGCGGUGGCUCGUAGACCGGAACCGGAGGAGGAACCUCCUCGGGAGGGCUGUAUUUAGGUGGACAGGGUAUCUUGAAUUUAGGAAAAGGUGGAAGUACCAAAGGCGGAUGAUCAAAGCCCUUGAAAG